AAUGUUGCCUCGGCGGAUCAGCCCGCGCCCCGUAAAACGGGACGGCCCGCCAGAGGACCCAAACUCUAAUGUUUCUUAUUGUAACUUCUGAGUAAAACAAACAAAUAAAUCAAAACUUUCAACAACGGAUCUCUUGGUUCUGGCAUCGAUGAAGAACGCAGCAAAAUGCGAUAAGUAAUGUGAAUUGCAGAAUUCAGUGAAUCAUCGAAUCUUUGAACGCACAUUGCGCCCGCUGGUAUUCCGGCGGGCAUGCCUGUUCGAGCGUCAUUUCAACCCUCAAGCCCCCGGGUUUGGUGUUGGGGAUCGGCUCUGCCUUCUGGCGGUGCCGCCCCCGAAAUACAUUGGCGGUCUCGCUGCAGCCUCCAUUGCGUAGUAGCUAACACCUCGCAACUGGAACGCGGCGCGGCCAUGCCGUAAAACCCCAACUUCUGAAUGUUGACCUCGGAUCAGGUAGGAAUACCCGCUGAACUUAAGCAUAUCAAUAA
This 485-nucleotide ribosomal RNA is filed under the name Fusarium tricinctum. RNAcentral describes it as "eukaryotic LSU rRNA". The stretch from base 114 to 267 matches the Rfam family "5.8S ribosomal RNA". Lineage: Eukaryota; Fungi; Ascomycota; Sordariomycetes; Hypocreales; Nectriaceae. The record is from RNAcentral.